RNAcentral lists this non-coding RNA (26 nucleotides) under Cricetulus griseus (Chinese hamster). The record is from RNAcentral. Lineage: Eukaryota; Metazoa; Chordata; Mammalia; Rodentia; Cricetidae. RNAcentral also lists the same sequence under 1 other name.
UCAGUUGGUAGAGCGGAGGACUGUAG